GGGGAUAUAGUACAGCACAGUGGUAGAGCACGUGCUUAGCGUGCAUGAGGUCCUGGGUUCAAUCCCCAGUACCUCUG
Molecule: transfer RNA, 77 nt
Organism: Camelus ferus (Wild Bactrian camel)
Lineage: Eukaryota; Metazoa; Chordata; Mammalia; Artiodactyla; Camelidae
Rfam family: tRNA
About the family: Transfer RNA (tRNA) molecules are approximately 80 nucleotides in length.
Source: Rfam